AAAAGGCCAGUGCACCUCAAUGGCCGACAUCCUGUCUCCCAGCAACUGAUGGUCUGGGCUCCUCCUUUGCAAAGGUGCCAACUGAAAGUGUUGGAGAACAAAGGGAUCAGGUGACCUCCUACCCUGGG
Long non-coding RNA from Gopherus evgoodei (Goodes thornscrub tortoise), 128 nucleotides. RefSeq lists it as uncharacterized. The record is from RefSeq and is a predicted model, not a curated record. NCBI's taxonomy places the organism in Eukaryota, Metazoa, Chordata, Testudines, Testudinidae. The transcript is spliced from 3 exons.